UACGUAGGAUGCGAGCGUUGUCCGGAAUCACUGGGUGUAAAGGGAGCGCAGGCGGUUCGGCAAGUCAUUGGUGAAAUUCUCAGGCUCAACCUGGGGGCUGCCACUGAUACUGCCGAUCUUGAGUGUGGAAGAGGCAGAUGGAAUUCCUGGUGUAGCGGUGAAAUGCGUAGAUAUCAGGAAGAACACCGAUGGCGAAGGCAGUCUACUGGUCCAUUACUGACGCUCAUGCUCGAAAGCGUGGGGAUCAAAC
Molecule: ribosomal RNA, 250 nt
Filed under: uncultured bacterium
Lineage: Bacteria
Description: partial 16S ribosomal RNA
Rfam family: Bacterial small subunit ribosomal RNA
Source: RNAcentral